This 739-nucleotide long non-coding RNA is filed under the name Salvia miltiorrhiza (redroot sage). RNAcentral describes it as "long non-coding RNA (SMIL_LNC010558)". The record is from RNAcentral. Lineage: Eukaryota; Viridiplantae; Streptophyta; Magnoliopsida; Lamiales; Lamiaceae.
UUUCACCUUUCGAUUCCAGCAAAUCGAACGAGGUAUGUUCGAAAAGGAAACCAAACUCGGCUUCCGAUUCCAUCAAAUCGAAGAAGGUUAGUUCGAAAUUUUUUGGUUGCUCUGUAGGAAAUAGAAUAGGGUCUUUUUCGAACAUCCAUACCAUGGAAAUAGAGGAUGAAAAUGGUAGAAAAGAAGAAAAUAAUCGGUGCAAGUAAGCUGGAAUCGAGGCAGGUACGGAUUUUCUCUCAGAUUUCUUUUGAAUAAUCAGCGACGACGCACAAUAUGUAAGGGUUACAACAGUUUUUUGUUCAAUAUUAAGUUCGAACAACAAAGGAAGUCUCGAUUCGGACAAACCGCUGCAGUUCUUGCCGUCUCCAUGCCCUAGUCACCUCGGUUCAUCGCCUUCACCGCCGCAUGCAUCCUCAUCUCCCUCGCCUCUCUGCCCUGUAUCUACCUUCAACCCGCAACCGCCACAGGCAAAGCCACGAUCACCGCCGUCGUGCCCUAGCCGCCCGCCUCUCUCUCUCACAUACACACACAUGCAUUGUGAAAAGCAGCAAGAAGCCACCGCCCCUCAACAAUCGAGAAAGAGAGUCGUCACCUAGGUUUGCUAUUCAAUUGGGAGUUUUUGAGAAAAUAUUUGUUUAGAUAAUUUAGGUGGCGUUUGUAUAAAUUUGAUAGGUAUUCGAAACUGAUGUUUAUUUAUUCAAUAUUUUUGUAUUUUUAUUCAUUGAAAAAGAAGCACAAC